GAUGAACGCUGGCGGCGUGCCUAAUACAUGCAAGUCGAGCGAACGGACGAGAAGCUUGCUUCUCUGAUGUUAGCGGCGGACGGGUGAGUAACACGUGGAUAACCUACCUAUAAGACUGGGAUAACUUCGGGAAACCGGAGCUAAUACCGGAUAAUAUUUUGAACCGCAUGGUUCAAAAGUGAAAGACGGUCUUGCUGUCACUUAUAGAUGGAUCCGCGCUGCAUUAGCUAGUUGGUAAGGUAACGGCUUACCAAGGCAACGAUGCAUAGCCGACCUGAGAGGGUGAUCGGCCACACUGGAACUGAGACACGGUCCAGACUCCUACGGGAGGCAGCAGUAGGGAAUCUUCCGCAAUGGGCGAAAGCCUGACGGAGCAACGCCGCGUGAGUGAUGAAGGUCUUCGGAUCGUAAAACUCUGUUAUUAGGGAAGAACAUAUGUGUAAGUAACUGUGCACAUCUUGACGGUGCCUAAUCAGAAAGCCACGGCUAACUACGU
This 496-nucleotide ribosomal RNA is filed under the name uncultured bacterium. Its description in RNAcentral is "partial 16S ribosomal RNA". It matches the Rfam family "Bacterial small subunit ribosomal RNA", at positions 28 to 506 of the family's 1533-position model. The record is from RNAcentral.